This 274-nucleotide ribosomal RNA is filed under the name uncultured bacterium. RNAcentral describes it as "partial 16S ribosomal RNA". It matches the Rfam family "Bacterial small subunit ribosomal RNA", at positions 523 to 796 of the family's 1533-position model. The record is from RNAcentral.
AGACGGAGGGGGCAAGCGUUGUUCGGAAUUACUGGGCGUAAAGGGCGCGUAGGCGGCAUACCAAGUUGGAGGUGAAAUCCCCGGGCUCAACCCGGGAACUGCGUUUGAUACUGCGAAACUAGAGAUCGGGAGAGGGUAGUGGAAUUCCCAGUGUAGAGGUGAAAUUCGUAGAUAUUGGGAAGAACACCAGUGGCGAAGGCGGCUACCUGGACCGAUACUGACGCUGAGGCGCGAAAGCGUGGGGAGCAAACAGGAUUAGAUACCCCGGUAGUCC